RNAcentral lists this ribosomal RNA (497 nucleotides) under uncultured bacterium. RNAcentral describes it as "partial 16S ribosomal RNA". It matches the Rfam family "Bacterial small subunit ribosomal RNA", at positions 28 to 507 of the family's 1533-position model. The record is from RNAcentral.
GAUGAACGCUGGCGGCGUGCCUAAUACAUGCAAGUCGAGCGAACGGACGAUAAGCUCGCUUCUCUGCUGUUAGCGGCUGACGGGUGAGUAACACGUGGAUAACCUUCCUCUAAUACUUGGAUAACUUCGUGAAACCGCAUCUAAUACCACCUAAUAUUUUGUACCGCAUGGUUCAAAAGUGAAUGACGGUCUUGCUGUCUCUUUUAGCUGGAUCCGCGCUGCAUUAGCUAGUUGGUAAGGUAACGGCUGACCAAGGCAACGAUGCAUAGCCGACCUGAGAGGGUGAUCGGCCACACUGGAACUGAGACACGGUCCAGACUCCUACGGGAGGCAGCAGUAGGGAAUAUUCCACAAUGGGCGAAAGCCUGACGGAGCAACGCCGCGUGAGUGAUGAAGGUCUUCGGAUCGUAAAACUCUGUUAUUAGGGAAGAACAGAUGUGUAAGUAACUGUGGACAUCUUGACGGUACCUAAUCAGAAAGCAACGGCUAACUACGUG